GACGAACGCUGGCGGCGUGCUUAGCACAUGCAAGUCGAACGGAAAGGCCCUGCUUUUGUGGGGUGCUCGAGUGGCGAACGGGUGAGUAACACGUGAGUAACCUGCCCUUGACUUUGGGAUAACUUCAGGAAACUGGGGCUAAUACCGGAUAGGAGCUCCUGCUGCAUGGUGGGGGUUGGAAAGUUUCGGCGGUUGGGGAUGGACUCGCGGCUUAUCAGCUUGUUGGUGGGGUAGUGGCUUACCAAGGCUUUGACGGGUAGCCGGCCUGAGAGGGUGACCGGCCACAUUGGGACUGAGAUACGGCCCAGACUCCUACGGGAGGCAGCAGUGGGGAAUAUUGCACAAUGGGCGGAAGCCUGAUGCAGCAACGCCGCGUGCGGGAUGACGGCCUUCGGGUUGUAAACCGCUUUCGCCUGUGACGAAGCGUGAGUGACGGUAAUGGAUAAAGAAGCACCGGCUAACUACGUG
RNAcentral lists this ribosomal RNA (468 nucleotides) under uncultured bacterium. RNAcentral's name for it is "partial 16S ribosomal RNA". It matches the Rfam family "Bacterial small subunit ribosomal RNA", at positions 28 to 507 of the family's 1533-position model. The record is from RNAcentral.